GCCUCGCGCAGGCCUCCAACGCUAAGGUCGCCACAGUCUCUCUACAGUCUUCGUCAGCCCUGCGUCUCUGGUGUCCAGGGGCUUCAAGUCCCCUUGUCACUGCUGGUGAGCUCCUCCUGCGUUUGGACGCCACAGGCGACCUCAGGACAAUAUCAUUAUCCCUUUAUCCCAUUUUCCACUGCGCAGCCCAACCCAACAGCUUCACAACAGCACAGCUGCAUUCUCUCUCGCACUCUCCUCUGUCGACAAAUUAUAGUUUUAAAGCAGGCUCACAAGAUGAAUCCUUCCAAGUGCUAUUUGUGCACACCAGGAAGAGAAACAUGGUGCAUUAAGACUACAAGUCAGCCGGGUGUGGUGGUGCAUGCCGGUAAUCCCAGCACUCCGGAAGCUGAGGCAGGAGGAUUGUUGCAAGUUUGAGACCAGCCUGGGCUACAAAGUGAGCUCAAGGCCACCCUGAACUGCAUAGAGAGACCCUGUCUCAAAAAGGCAAAAGAAAAAAAAAAAAAAAAAAAAAAGACUCCAAGUUUCCAAAUAGCCUAGGUUUUCCUAACAUCAGUUUUGCAAACUUAAUGCACUCUAGGGUGUGGAACAGAGAAUUAUGACAUUUCAAAGACUGAUAAGUGAAUUUACUCUUGUCUCUGGGACCUUGAGUCUUCUGAACACAAUGAAAAAUAAAAUAGCUUAGCUUCAAUUGGAGGGAAUUUUUCCUUUCUAGAACUGUCUGGUCUUUUAGAACAAAGACCAACAAAUUGUGUGAUCUUGAACAGGUCUGAGUUUCCACAUAUAUAACAUUUAAAAAGUUGAUUAAGUGACCUCUAAAAUACGUUCUAAAUGUAAGUUUUACAUUCUGUUAGCUUUUCCGGUGUGAAUAACAUCAGGAGCAAGCUCCAUGCCCUAGGAAGGAGUGACAAUGCAAUAAACAUUUUUGAUCAUUUAUUGUGUCUUAGGCUUUGUGGUACCUCUGGAGUGGGGAACAAGUUAGACAUAAUCCUGCUAAUAGUCUAGAAAAGAAGGCAGCAAAUGAUUUUGACAUAAAGUAAUAACAAAUGUAGUAAAAAAAAAAUGUAAGGAAGGGAAUAGUAGAAGUUGAGGGUGGAUAGAGGGUAGGGUUUAUAAAAUGAGGGUGGGACUUGAGUUCUCAGCAAGGAAAAUCUGAGUUAAGUUUGUCAAGCAGCUGUCACACUGGGAUGGAAGAAAUUGUAAUGCGCCUUCAGGUACAUUUAUUAUUUA
This 1230-nucleotide long non-coding RNA is filed under the name Chinchilla lanigera (long-tailed chinchilla). RNAcentral describes it as "lncRNA (ENSCLAG00000024312.1)". Lineage: Eukaryota; Metazoa; Chordata; Mammalia; Rodentia; Chinchillidae. The record is from RNAcentral.